AGUGAACGCUGGCGGUAGGCCUAACACAUGCAAGUCGAACGGCAGCACAGUAAGAGCUUGCUCUUACGGGUGGCGAGUGGCGGACGAGUGAGGAAUACAUCGGAAUCUACUUUUUCGUGGGGGCUAACGUAGGGAAACUUACGCUAAUACCGCAUACGACCUACGGGUGAAAGCAGGGGAUCUUCGGACCUUGCGCGAUUGAAUGAGCCGAUGUCGGAUUAGCUAGUUGGCGGGGUAAAGGCCCACCAAGGCGACGAUCCGUAGCUGGUCUGAGAGGAUGAUCAGCCACACUGGAACUGAGACACGGUCCAGACUCCUACGGGAGGCAGCAGUGGGGAAUAUUGGACAAUGGGCGCAAGCCUGAUCCAGCCAUACCGCGUGGGUGAAGAAGGCCUUCGGGUUGUAAAGCCCUUUUGUUGGGAAAGAAAAGCAGCAGGUUAAUACCCCGCUGUUCUGACGGUACCAAAAGAAUAAGCACCGGCUAACUUCGUG
RNAcentral lists this ribosomal RNA (492 nucleotides) under uncultured bacterium. RNAcentral's name for it is "partial 16S ribosomal RNA". It matches the Rfam family "Bacterial small subunit ribosomal RNA", at positions 29 to 507 of the family's 1533-position model. The record is from RNAcentral.